GUGUCAGCAGCCGCGGUAAGACGGAGGGUGCUAGCGUUGUUCGGAAUCACUGGGCGUAAAGGGCGCGUAGGCGGCCGCCCGCGUCGGACGUGAAAGCCCGGGGCUCAACCCCGGAACGGCGUCCGAUACGGGGCGGCUCGAGGCCGGGAGAGGGGGGUGGAAUACCCAGUGUAGAGGUGAAAUUCGUAGAUAUUGGGUGGAACACCGGUGGCGAAAGCGGCCCCCUGGCCCGGUCCUGACGCUGAGGCGCGAAAGCGUGGGGAGCAAACAGGAUUAGAUACCCCAGUAGUCC
Molecule: ribosomal RNA, 292 nt
Filed under: uncultured bacterium
Lineage: Bacteria
Description: partial 16S ribosomal RNA
Rfam family: Bacterial small subunit ribosomal RNA
Source: RNAcentral